GUCGUGCUCUGCGCAAGAGGGAAGUCCUGAUUUUUGGGGUGCCACAAGCCUGAGACAAAACAAAUUUCCAUUUUCAACCGGAAUGAAAUUAAGAAAACAGAUAAAAGCCACAUACAAAAUCUCAUUGAGGGUCUUUUUGCUUUUUAACUGUAAAAAUUUACAACUAAAAUGAAAAGUGCCUCGGAAUGAAAUAUUAAAUCCAAGCUGGUGUCUGUCCACCUGUCCUUAGGAAGUCUCAACUUACGAAGUCCACAAAAUUUCUCAAAAAAGAGUUUUAUCACUUUGAAUUUGUCCCCUGCUUAAAAUCCCUCAAAAUAUACAAUAUCUAAUAAAAAUCAGCCUUUUACUUAUAAAAUGAAUUCAUUUAUCAGCA
This 373-nucleotide long non-coding RNA is filed under the name Homo sapiens (human). RNAcentral's name for it is "novel transcript, antisense to CEP170". The record is from RNAcentral. Lineage: Eukaryota; Metazoa; Chordata; Mammalia; Primates; Hominidae.